CACUCACCGUGAGGGUUGGUGGCUUCAUUCCAGAAGUCAGCGAGACCAAGAACCUACCAAUUCCGGACACAGUUUCCAUUCCUGAUGCUUCGCUCCUGAAUUGAAUAACUCGUCUAGGACAACCUUUCCGUCUGUGAGCAUUUGUAAUAGAACGUUUUCCAAGCAACACCAAUGCCUGCGUCCUUUGGUGACAAAGGGCCUGGAUGCAGUCGGGGGACAUAUCAAAUGAAGGUGCAUGCAAGUGAC
Long non-coding RNA from Gorilla gorilla gorilla (western lowland gorilla), 246 nucleotides. RefSeq lists it as uncharacterized. NCBI's taxonomy places the organism in Eukaryota, Metazoa, Chordata, Mammalia, Primates, Hominidae. The record is from RefSeq and is a predicted model, not a curated record. The transcript is spliced from 3 exons.